Molecule: ribosomal RNA, 497 nt
Filed under: uncultured bacterium
Lineage: Bacteria
Description: bacterial SSU rRNA
Rfam family: Bacterial small subunit ribosomal RNA
Source: RNAcentral
GAUCCUGGCUCAGAUUGAACGCUGGCGGCAUGCUUUACACAUGCAAGUCGAACGGCAGCGCGGGCUUCGGCCUGGCGGCGAGUGGCGAACGGGUGAGUAAUAUAUCGGAACGUACCCAAGAGUGGGGGAUAACGUAGCGAAAGUUACGCUAAUACCGCAUACGAUCUAAGGAUGAAAGCAGGGGAUCGCAAGACCUUGUGCUCCUGGAGCGGCCGAUAUCUGAUUAGCUAGUUGGUGGGGUAAAGGCCCGCCAAGGCAACGAUCAGUAGCUGGUCUGAGAGGACGACCAGCCACACUGGAACUGAGACACGGUCCAGACUCCUACGGGAGGCAGCAGUGGGGAAUUUUGGACAAUGGGGGCAACCCUGAUCCAGCAAUGCCGCGUGAGUGAAGAAGGCCUUCGGGUUGUAAAGCUCUUUCGGACAGAAAGAAAUCGCAUCGGCUAAUACUCGAUGUGGAUGACGGUACUGUCAUAAGAAGCACCGGCUAACUACGUG